Molecule: ribosomal RNA, 253 nt
Filed under: uncultured bacterium
Lineage: Bacteria
Description: partial 16S ribosomal RNA
Rfam family: Bacterial small subunit ribosomal RNA
Source: RNAcentral
UACGUAGGUGGCAAGCGUUGUCCGGAUUUACUGGGCGUAAAGAGCGCGCAGGCGGUCGGAUAAGUCGAAUGUGAAAGCCCCCGGCUCAACUGGGGAGGGUCAUUCGAUACUGUUCGACUCGAAGGCAGGAGAGGGAAGUGGAAUUCCCGGUGUAGUGGUGAAAUGCGUAGAUAUCGGGAGGAACACCAGUGGCGAAGGCGACUUCCUGGCCUGUUCUUGACUCUGAGGCGCGAAAGCUAGGGGAGCAAACGGG